GUGUCAGCAGCCGCGGUAAUACGUAGGUGGCAAGCGUUGUCCGGAUUUACUGGGCGUAAAGGAUGUGUAGGCGGAUACUUAAGUCAGAUGUGAAAUCCCCCGGCUUAACUGUGGAGCUUCAUUGCAAACUGGGUGUCUUGAGUGCAGAAGAGGAAAGUGGAAUUCCUAGUGUAGCGGUGAAAUGCGUAGAGAUUAGGAAGAAUACCAGUGGCGAAGGCGGCUUUCUGGUCUGUAACUGACGCUGAGGCGUGAAAGCAUGGGGAGCAAACAGGAUUAGAUACCCUGGUAGUCCAUGCCGUAAACGAUGAGUGCUAGGUGUAAGAGGUAU
RNAcentral lists this ribosomal RNA (328 nucleotides) under uncultured bacterium. Its description in RNAcentral is "bacterial SSU rRNA". It matches the Rfam family "Bacterial small subunit ribosomal RNA", at positions 505 to 832 of the family's 1533-position model. The record is from RNAcentral.